CCUACGGGUGGCAGCAGUGGGGGAUAUUGGACAAUGGACGGAAGUCUGAACCAGCCAAGUAGCGUGCAGGAUGACGGCCCUCCGGGUUGUAAACUGCUUUUAGAUGGGAAUAAAAGGGGGCUCGUGAGCCCCGUAUUGUGUGUACCAUCAGAAAAAGGACCGGAUAAUUGCGUGCCAGGAGCCGCGGUGAUGCAGAUGGCGCAAGCGAUGUGGGGAAUGACUGGUAGUAAAGCGUGCGGAGGCGGUUGCGUAAGUCGUGUGUGAAAGGCGCGGGCUCAACCCGCGGACGGCACAUGAUACUGCGAGGCUAGAGUAUGGGAGGGGGAACCGGAAUUCGCGGUGUAGCGGUGAAAUGCGUAGAUAUCGAGAGGAACACUCGUGGCGAAGGCGGCUUCCUGGACAUUAACUGACGUUGAGGCACGAAGGCGAGGGGAGCGAAAGGGAUUAGAUACCCGAGUAGUC
This 462-nucleotide ribosomal RNA is filed under the name uncultured bacterium. RNAcentral's name for it is "partial 16S ribosomal RNA". It matches the Rfam family "Bacterial small subunit ribosomal RNA", at positions 338 to 795 of the family's 1533-position model. The record is from RNAcentral.